This is a non-coding RNA of Rattus norvegicus (Norway rat), 63 nucleotides long. The record is from Rfam. Lineage: Eukaryota; Metazoa; Chordata; Mammalia; Rodentia; Muridae.
GGGGAUUUGGCUCAGUGGUAGAGUGCUUGCCUAGCAAGCGCAAGGUCCUGGGUUCAGUCCCCA